GAUGAACGCUGGCGGCGUGCCUAAUACAUGCAAGUCGAGCGAACGGACGAGAAGCUUGCUUCUCUGAUGUUAGCGGCGGACGGGUGAGUAACACGUGGAUAACCUACCUAUAAGACUGGGAUAACUUCGGGAAACCGUAGCUAAUACCGGAUAAUAUUUUGAACCGCAUGGUUCAAAAGUGAAAGACGGUCUUGCUGUCACUUAUAGAUGGAUCCGCGCUGCAUUAGCUAGUUGGUAAGGUAACGGCUUACCAAGGCAACGAUGCAUAGCCGACCUGAGAGGGUGAUCGGCCACACUGGAACUGAGACACGGUCCAGACUCCUACGGGAGGCAGCAGUAGGGAAUCUUCCGCAAGGGGCGAAAGCCUGACAGAGCAACGCCGCGUGAGUGAUGAAGGUCUUCGGAUCGUAAAACUCUGUUAUUAGGGAAGAACAUAUGUGUAAGUAACUGUGCACAUCUUGACGGUACCUAAUCAGAAAGCCACGGCUAACUACGUG
RNAcentral lists this ribosomal RNA (497 nucleotides) under uncultured bacterium. RNAcentral's name for it is "partial 16S ribosomal RNA". It matches the Rfam family "Bacterial small subunit ribosomal RNA", at positions 28 to 507 of the family's 1533-position model. The record is from RNAcentral.